GACGAACGCUGGCGGCGUGCCUAAUACAUGCAAGUGGGACGCAAGGGAACACACUGUGCUUGCACACCGUGUUUUCUUGAGUCGCGAACGGGUGAGUAACGCGUAGGUAACCUGCCUAUUAGCGGGGGAUAACUAUUGGAAACGAUAGCUAAUACCGCAUAAUAUUAAUUAUUGCAUGAUAAUUGAUUGAAAGAUGCAAGCGCAUCACUAGUAGAUGGACCUGCGUUGUAUUAGCUAGUUGGUAAGGUAAGAGCUUACCAAGGCGACGAUACAUAGCCGACCUGAGAGGGUGAUCGGCCACACUGGGACUGAGACACGGCCCAGACUCCUACGGGAGGCAGCAGUAGGGAAUCUUCGGCAAUGGACGAAAGUCUGACCGAGCAACGCCGCGUGAGUGAAGAAGGUUUUCGGAUCGUAAAGCUCUGUUGUAAGUCAAGAACGUGUGUGAGAGUGGAAAGCUCACACAGG
RNAcentral lists this ribosomal RNA (468 nucleotides) under Streptococcus mutans. RNAcentral describes it as "bacterial SSU rRNA". It matches the Rfam family "Bacterial small subunit ribosomal RNA", at positions 28 to 472 of the family's 1533-position model. The record is from RNAcentral. Lineage: Bacteria; Bacillati; Bacillota; Bacilli; Lactobacillales; Streptococcaceae.